RNAcentral lists this ribosomal RNA (550 nucleotides) under uncultured bacterium. RNAcentral's name for it is "bacterial SSU rRNA". It matches the Rfam family "Bacterial small subunit ribosomal RNA", at positions 355 to 896 of the family's 1533-position model. The record is from RNAcentral.
UAGGGAAUCUUCCACAAUGGGCGCAAGCCUGAUGGAGCAACACCGCGUGAGUGAAGAAGGGUUUCGGCUCGUAAAGCUCUGUUGUUAAAGAAGAACACGUAUGAGAGUAACUGUUCAUACGUUGACGGUAUUUAACCAGAAAGUCACGGCUAACUACGUGCCAGCAGCCGCGGUAAUACGUAGGUGGCAAGCGUUAUCCGGAUUUAUUGGGCGUAAAGAGAGUGCAGGCGGUUUUCUAAGUCUGAUGUGAAAGCCUUCGGCUUAACCGGAGAAGUGCAUCGGAAACUGGAUAACUUGAGUGCAGAAGGGGAGAGUGGAAUUCCAUGUGUAGCGGUGAAAUGCGUAGAUAUAUGGAGGAACACCGGUGGCGAAAGCGGCUCUCUGGUCUGUAACUGACGCUGAGGCUCGAAAGCGUGGGGAGCGAACAGGAUUAGAUACCCUGGUAGUCCACGCCGUAAACGAUGAGUGCUAGGUGUUGGAUCCUUUCCGGGAUUCAGUGCCGCAGCUAACGCAUUAAGCACUCCGCCUGGGGAGUACGACCGCAAGGUUG